CUCUCGAAGACCCGCUGGUAAGGGUACACGCCUGUAGAGCGUGUUGCAGUAGGUUCGAAUCCUACUCGGGAGA
Molecule: transfer RNA, 73 nt
Filed under: Halogranum tailed virus 1
Lineage: Duplodnaviria; Heunggongvirae; Uroviricota; Caudoviricetes; Thumleimavirales; Halomagnusviridae
Description: Halovirus HGTV-1 tRNA
Rfam family: tRNA
About the family: Transfer RNA (tRNA) molecules are approximately 80 nucleotides in length. Their secondary structure includes four short double-helical elements and three loops (D, anti-codon, and T loops). Further hydrogen bonds mediate the characteristic L-shaped molecular structure. tRNAs have two regions of fundamental functional importance: the anti-codon, which is responsible for specific mRNA codon recognition, and the 3' end, to which the tRNAs corresponding amino acid is attached (by aminoacyl-tRNA synthetases). tRNAs cope with the degeneracy of the genetic code in two manners: having more than one tRNA (with a specific anti-codon) for a particular amino acid; and 'wobble' base-pairing, i.e. permitting non-standard base-pairing at the 3rd anti-codon position.
Source: Rfam by way of RNAcentral